GCUCACAAACAUAUAUGUUUAUGUAUCUUAGAAUUUAAAAACUUAGUCAAGUAAUCAAUGUGGCUAAGAGCUGUGGAGUUUUAGGGAGAAAAAAAAUACACAAAUAAAAUAAAAUAAAACAAUAAAUAAAGGAGAAAAAUACAUAAAUAAAAUAAAUUUAAAAAUAAAAUUAAAAUAGGGAGGGGUAACAAGAUGGCGACUGAGACGGUAGAGCUUCAUAAGCUGAAGCUUGCUGAACUAAAGCAGGAGUGUCUUGCUCGUGGUUUGGAGACCAAGGGAAUAAAACAAGAUCUCAUCAACAGGCUCCAGGCAUAUCUUGAAGAGCAUGCUGAAGAGGAGGCAAAUGAAGAAGAUGUAAUGGGAGAUGAAACAGAGGAGAAGAACCAAAGCCCUUAGAACUGCCUGUCAAAGAGGAAGAGCCUCCUGAAAAAACUGUUGAUGUGGAGCAGAGAAAAAAGUGGUAAAAAUUACAUCUGAAAUACCACAGACUGAGAGGAUGCAGAAGAGAGCUGAAUGAUUCAAUGUACCUGUGAGUUUGGAGAGUAAGAAAGCUGCCCGGGCAGCUCGAUUUGGGAUUUCUCCAGUUCCAUCAAAAGGUCUGUCGUCUGACACCAAGCCUAUGGUUAACCUGGAUAAGCUAAAAGAAAGAGCUCAAAGGUUUGCUUUGAAUGUCUCUUCAAUCUCCAGAAAGUCGGAGGAUGAGGAAAAGCUGAAAAAGAGGAAGGAGCGAUUUGGGAUUGUCACAAAUUCAGCUGGAACAGGAACCACAGAGGAUACAGAGGCAAAGAAGAGGAAAAGAGCAGAGUGCUUUGGAAUUGCCUGAUGAAAAGCUUUUCAUGCUUUCUGUUCUCCAGGGGUUUCCACCUCUUUAACUCUUCCUGGUCACCUACAUACCUACAUGCACAGUUAUGUGCCUAGGUCCUGCCUUGCAAUGAGGGAGCAUGUACCCCAGGUACAUCUGUGAACUCCGGCAGCAGUUUGACUUAUUGCAGUUCCAACUUUAAGGUUUUUGUUGUUGUGUUGUUGUUUUUUAAUUAUUAUUUUGCUUGUUAAUUUAAAAAA
Molecule: non-coding RNA, 1062 nt
Organism: Odocoileus virginianus texanus
Lineage: Eukaryota; Metazoa; Chordata; Mammalia; Artiodactyla; Cervidae
Source: RefSeq, a predicted model, not a curated record